Molecule: long non-coding RNA, 576 nt
Filed under: Gossypium barbadense (sea-island cotton)
Lineage: Eukaryota; Viridiplantae; Streptophyta; Magnoliopsida; Malvales; Malvaceae
Description: long non-coding RNA (GBAR_LNC008370)
Source: RNAcentral
GCAUUACAUCAUCAUAGAAAGGAGGUGUUGAUUCAUAUUUGAUUGCUAAAUAGAACAGUUUGUCAUAAGAAAACGAAUUUCUUGAUAAAGUGGAUUAUAACACGGUUGUCUAAAUAUGGUCCAAGUAAACACAAUGAAAGAAGGCUGAUAGCCCAUGAAGAAAUACACGAAUUUGCUUCAUCGCUCGAGGAUUCAAGCCGACAAAGAUUAUUCGAGAGCCGUCACGUCUUAACUUUCUUAAAGGAGCUGACAAGUAUCGCGGGGAUAAGUGAGCAACGAGUUGCAGCCUGGAUCAAGCAAAAAAAUGGUUUCGACAGAUGUUAUAUUUUUAGAUAAGUCAUUUUGGGAUGAUUGGUAAUCAAUUACUUUAUGCCUCUACAUGGCCCUCAUAUAAUCUUAGCGAAGUUGUCUAUCCUGAGUUUUGCUAGCCUGAAGUUUGGAGAAGAACCCAAAAUUCGCGAUAUUUUUAGCUUCAUUGAGAAACAUAUGUCAGGUUCUCUAUAAAUACGUUGCUAAGUUCGCGAGAUCCACUAUAUAAGAAAGGGUAAACUACAAAAAUAGUCACUUUUGUCUGCC